AUAGAGGAAGUAAAAGUCGUAACGGGGUCUCGUUGGUGACAGCGGAGGGAUCAUUACCGAGUUUACAACUCCCAAACCCAUGUGAACAUACCUAUUGUUGCUUCGGCGGGAUUGCCCCGGGCGCCUCGUGUGCCCCGGAUCAGGCGCCCGCCUAGGAAACUCAACUCUUGUUUUAUUUUGGAAUCUUCUGAGUAGUUUUUACAAAUAAAUAAAAACUUUCAACAACGGAUCUCUUGGUUCUGGCAUCGAUGAAGAACGCAGCGAAAUGCGAUAAGUAAUGUGAAUUGCAGAAUUCAGUGAAUCAUCGAAUCUUUGAACGCACAUUGCGCCCGCCAGUAUUCUGGCGGGCAUGCCUGUCUGAGCGUCAUUUCAACCCUCAUGCCCCUAGGGCGUGGUGUUGGGGAUCGGCCAAAGCCCGCGAGGGACGGCCGGCCCCUAAAUCUAGUGGCGGACCCGUCGUGGCCUCCUCUGCGAAGUAGUGAUAUUCCGCAUCGGAGAGCGAUGAGCCCCUGCCGUUAAACCCCCAACUUUCCAAGGUUGACCUCAGAUCAGGUAGGAAUACCCGCUGAACUUAAGCAUAUCAAUAAGCGGAGGA
This 595-nucleotide ribosomal RNA is filed under the name Clonostachys sp. OTU103 AN-2016. RNAcentral's name for it is "eukaryotic LSU rRNA". The stretch from base 214 to 367 matches the Rfam family "5.8S ribosomal RNA". Lineage: Eukaryota; Fungi; Ascomycota; Sordariomycetes; Hypocreales; Bionectriaceae. The record is from RNAcentral.